RNAcentral lists this ribosomal RNA (253 nucleotides) under uncultured bacterium. RNAcentral's name for it is "partial 16S ribosomal RNA". It matches the Rfam family "Bacterial small subunit ribosomal RNA", at positions 524 to 776 of the family's 1533-position model. The record is from RNAcentral.
UACGAGUGCCCCGAGCGUUAUCCGGAAUCAUUGGGCGUAAAGGGUGCGUAGGCGGGUCUUUAAGUCAGGGGUGAAAUCCUGGAGCUCAACUCCAGAACUGCCUUUGAUACUGAAGAUCUUGAGUUCGGGAGAGGUGAGUGGAACUGCGAGUGUAGAGGUGAAAUUCGUAGAUAUUGGGAAGAACACCAGUGGCGAAGGCGGCUAACUGGUCCAGAUCUGACGCUGAGGUGCGAAAGCGUGGGGAGCAAACAGG